CCCAUUUUGUUGGAAAAAGCAGGGCAUUUUUUCUUCUGCGGCAUCACUGGUGAAGAGCUGUAAGCAGCAUCAUCCAAUAUAAUCUGAAGUGCCCAAAGAUGCAGAGACGUGAACGGGGACCACUUUCAGCAUCUUUUGUGGCUUGUUGUUUAUUA
Bufo bufo (common toad) is the source of this 155-nucleotide long non-coding RNA. RefSeq lists it as uncharacterized. The record is from RefSeq and is a predicted model, not a curated record. NCBI's taxonomy places the organism in Eukaryota, Metazoa, Chordata, Amphibia, Anura, Bufonidae. The transcript has 3 exons.